AGCGAACGCUGGCGGCAGGCCUAACACAUGCAAGUCGAACGAACCUUUCGGGGUUAGUGGCGGACGGGUGAGUAACACGUGGGAACGUGCCUUUAGGUUCGGAAUAACUCAGGGAAACUUGUGCUUAUACCGAAUGUGCCCUUCUGGGGAAAGAUUUAUCGCCUUUAGAGCGGCCCGCGUCUGAUUAGCUAGUUGGUUGAGGUAAUGGCUUACCAAGGCUUCGAUCAGUAGCUGGUCUGAGAGGAUGAUCAGCCACAUUGGGACUGAGACACGUCCCCAACUCCUACGGGAGGCAGCAGUGGGGACUCUUGCGCGAUGGGCGAGAGACUGACGCAGCCAUGCCGCGUGAAUGAUGAAGGUCUUAGGAUUGUAAAAUUCUUUCACCGGGGCCGAUAAUGACGGUACCCGGAGAAGAAGCCCCGGCUAACUACGUG
RNAcentral lists this ribosomal RNA (434 nucleotides) under uncultured bacterium. RNAcentral's name for it is "partial 16S ribosomal RNA". It matches the Rfam family "Bacterial small subunit ribosomal RNA", at positions 29 to 507 of the family's 1533-position model. The record is from RNAcentral.